This is a long non-coding RNA of Marmota monax (woodchuck), 1185 nucleotides long. RefSeq lists it as uncharacterized. Lineage: Eukaryota; Metazoa; Chordata; Mammalia; Rodentia; Sciuridae. The transcript has 4 exons. The record is from RefSeq and is a predicted model, not a curated record.
UCAAAGAACAAUGAAAGCGAAGAUGCUGUUUUGCAGUCCAGGAAGCUGGAAGGGGUGUGGUGGAGCAAGUCUCGGGAAGGUCAGGCAGACCACCGCGGGGAGGCUGCCUCCCCCUGGGGAGCAGGCGUCCUGAGACUGUGCCUUGCCCAGGCCCAGGCUCCUCUUUGAGGCCUGGAGUGGGGAUCAUGGCUCUGAGAGCAUCGGGCAGGUUGUAGGAAGUGGAGCUCCAGCAGAGAGGAGCUGGCUUCUUCUUCCCAGUGUGGUUUUCACACAGUAACUUGGAGGAAGAGACACCAGAGAGCUUCCUGGUCUCUCUGCCACAUAAGAACAAGGUGGGAAGAUGACCAUCAGCAAGCCAGGAAGAGAAGCUUCACCAGGAACCAAAUCCUACUGGCACCUUGAUCUUGGAGCCUCCAGCCUACAGAACCAUGAGAAAAUUCAUGUCCAUGGUAUUGAGUAUGGCAGCCCAGGGAAAAUUGCGAAUCAAGGCUUUGCAAAAGGCCUGAAGUAGACAUUCACAUCAUCCAGCCAUUCACCCAGACAUGUAUUGACCAUGCUGAAAAUUUACCUUGAGCUUCUGCAUCAGGGUAUCUUUUGGGGGACCCCUUCCAAGUCCCUAAAGGAGCCCAUGAGAUGGAAGAGGCCAUUUUGCCAUCUGCCCAAAUCCUUCUGGCUUUCUCCCUCCCCAGAUUCCCUGCCAAAUUCUAGCUCUUGGUAUUUUUAAUCCAUUUCCCUCUUUCUGCCAUUGUUCACCCCCCGUCAUCCUAAGCCCUGUGCCUCUUCUUGUAUUAUCUGUCAUCCAGGUCUCCUAACUAGUCUCUGUCUCUAACCUUCUCUUCCAAUGGCUGCCAGCAUGUUUUCUCUUUCCCCCCAAAUCAACCCCCUGAUGUGACAGUCGCCCAUGACUCUCCAUUGCCAGUAUGGAGCCCAGAGCCCUCAGAAUGUCUGUGAAGCUCUUCAUCACCUCAUGCGUGCCCACCUUUCCGUUGUCAUCUCUAACACCUCUAGCCAGAACGCGCUAGGCUGCUCCACUCAUCCCAUCAGGCCCGUUUUGAAACAGGGACUCAAAGCCAGGUCUAUGCUGUGCGUUCUGUCAUGAAGGUGACUAGCUCCGGGAGUUCAUGGCUUGCGGGGAGGAAGAUGGCAGAGGAGAUAUCCUGGUAAGGUAAUGAGGUGAGUGCUUGG